CGUAGGUGGCAAGCGUUGUCCGGAAUUAUUGGGCGUAAAGCGCGCGCAGGCGGCCUUUUAAGUCUGAUGUGAAAGCCCCCGGCUCAACCGGGGAGGGUCAUUGGAAACUGGAAGGCUUGAGUACAGAAGAGAAGAGUGGAAUUCCAUGUGUAGCGGUGAAAUGCGUAGAGAUGUGGAGGAACACCAGUGGCGAAGGCGACUCUUUGGUCUGUAACUGACGCUGAGGCGCGAAAGCGUGGGGAGCAAACAGGAUUAGAUACCCUGGUAGUCCACGCCGUAAACGAUGAGUGCUAGGUGUUGGGGGGUUUCCGCCCUCAGUGCUGAAGCUAACGCAUUAAGCACUCCGCCUGGGGAGUACGGCCGCAAGGCUG
RNAcentral lists this ribosomal RNA (371 nucleotides) under uncultured organism. RNAcentral's name for it is "bacterial SSU rRNA". It matches the Rfam family "Bacterial small subunit ribosomal RNA", at positions 526 to 896 of the family's 1533-position model. The record is from RNAcentral.